GCCGAGCUUAGUAAUGUGAGCUUGUAACUCAAGUGAGGGCAAAUGGAGGAGUGAGUGAGUUGUUGAAGGAGAAUCGAAGAAUCAUAAAAGAGGAAUUAUUGAGACAUUUCUAAACCUUUUU
This 121-nucleotide non-coding RNA is filed under the name Arabidopsis halleri subsp. gemmifera. Lineage: Eukaryota; Viridiplantae; Streptophyta; Magnoliopsida; Brassicales; Brassicaceae. The record is from RNAcentral.